UUAGUGGCGGACGGGUGAGUAACACGUGGGAACGUGCCUUUAGGUUCGGAAUAAGCUCGGGAAACUGGGUCUAAUACCGAAUGUGCCCUUCGGGGGAAAGAUUUAUCGCCUUUAGAGCGGCCCGCGUCUGAUUAGCUAGUUGGUGGUGUAAUGGACCACCAAGGCGACGAUCAGUAGCUGGUCUGAGAGGAUGACCAGCCACAUUGGGACUGAGACACGGCCCAAACUCCUACGGGAGGCAGCAGUGGGGAAUCUUGCGCAAUGGGCGAAAGCCUGACGCAGCCAUGCCGCGUGUAUGAUGAAGGUCUUAGGAUUGUAAAAUACUUUCACCGGUGAAGAUAAUGACUGUAGCCGGAGAAGAAGCCCCGGCUAACUUCGUGCCAGCAGCCGCGGUAAUACGAAGGGGGCUAGCGUUGCUCGGAAUUACUGGGCGUAAAGGGAGCGUAGGCGGACAUUUAAGUCAGGGGUGAAAUCCCAGAGCUCAACUCUGGA
This 492-nucleotide ribosomal RNA is filed under the name uncultured Brevundimonas sp. RNAcentral describes it as "bacterial SSU rRNA". It matches the Rfam family "Bacterial small subunit ribosomal RNA", at positions 92 to 619 of the family's 1533-position model. The record is from RNAcentral. Lineage: Bacteria; Pseudomonadati; Pseudomonadota; Alphaproteobacteria; Caulobacterales; Caulobacteraceae.